RNAcentral lists this ribosomal RNA (560 nucleotides) under Ruegeria pomeroyi. RNAcentral describes it as "bacterial SSU rRNA". It matches the Rfam family "Bacterial small subunit ribosomal RNA", at positions 56 to 662 of the family's 1533-position model. Lineage: Bacteria; Pseudomonadati; Pseudomonadota; Alphaproteobacteria; Rhodobacterales; Roseobacteraceae. The record is from RNAcentral.
UGCAAGUCGAGCGCGCCCUUCGGGGUGAGCGGCGGACGGGUUAGUAAAGCGUGGGAACGUACCCUUUGGUAGGGAAUAGCCACUGGAAACGGUGAGUAAUACCCUAUGAGCCCUUCGGGGGAAAGAUUUAUCGCCAAAGGAUCGGCCCGGGUUAGAUUAGGUAGUUGGUGGGGUAAUGGCCUACCAAGCCUACGAUCUAUAGCUGGUUUUAGAGGAUGAUCAGCAACACUGGGACUGAGACACGGCCCAGACUCCUACGGGAGGCAGCAGUGGGGAAUCUUGGACAAUGGGGGCAACCCUGAUCCAGCCAUGCCGCGUGAGUGAAGAAGGCCUUAGGGUCGUAAAGCUCUUUCGCCUGUGAAGAUAAUGACGGUAGCAGGUAAAGAAACCCCGGCUAACUCCGUGCCAGCAGCCGCGGUAAUACGGAGGGGGUUAGCGUUGUUCGGAAUUACUGGGCGUAAAGCGCGCGUAGGCGGACCAGAAAGUUGGGGGUGAAAUCCCGGGGCUCAACCCCGGAACUGCUUCCAAAACUCCUGGUCUUGAGUUCGAGAGAGGUGAGU